This is a long non-coding RNA of Sceloporus undulatus (fence lizard), 964 nucleotides long. RefSeq lists it as uncharacterized. The transcript is spliced from 5 exons. The record is from RefSeq and is a predicted model, not a curated record. NCBI's taxonomy places the organism in Eukaryota, Metazoa, Chordata, Lepidosauria, Squamata, Phrynosomatidae.
CUGUUUCUCUACAAUGUUAACAUAGCAAUAAUUGUCAUAACUGGUAUUACAUCAGUAAUUUUGGUAGGUGCUUUAUUGCCCAGCAGGACUUUAAUAUUCCCAUACUUAGAAACAUUUUUUGUUCAUUCUUAGCAUACUCAGUGGUACAAUACAGUAGUGUUGCAUCUGCUAUCUAUGCCAAGCAAAAAAUACAUGGCUUUGAUUUCCUUUUGAGAAGAAUCGGCUAACCUCACUUUCAUCAGUGAUGUGGAACAGGUCAAACAGGACUUGUCAAAGAAAUCAGAAAGCAUUUGGUGACUUCACAACUGUCAUCAAAGAUUCAGAAAAAUAACUUACCUGUACGGCGUCUGAGGUCACAUGAGUCCCAGAGUUGUUCUUCUCAUCUCCAAACGGACACUGAGCUUCCAUCUAGCAAAAGGAAAGCUCCCCCUGACUCUGUUGUGCGGGAAAGACUUUUAAUUUUGUUUAAUCCCCGUCCUUUACCUCAGGACAUAUUGGAUGAUGUAUUAAGCCGAUUUGGAAAUUUUAUAAAUGUUUAUAUUGUUCCUGGAGAAAACAUAGCUUAUGCGAUGUUUGCAGACAGAGCAACUGCUGGUGAUGCUAUAGCUGUGCUCCACGGGAAGACUGUGAAUGGUGUGAAGUUAAAGGUGAUACUAGCAGAUUUGCCCACACAGUACUCCAGCAAACGGCAACGGAUAGCCUAACCAGGCAGAAUAGAGAAGAACAACAGGACUAACAAAUUUGCUAAGGAUGGUGACAAAACUUUUUUGUGUGCAACUGAUCAAUCAGCUCACAUCGGUGAAAAAACAAAAAUAAACAUUUUUGUAAAGAAGCAAUCAGCCUAAGCUGAAUUUGUAAAACGUGGUGUUUGCUGAAUUUAUGCUUCUAAUAUGGAAAAGUCUCACUAAAGAAUUAAACUCUAUAUAUAUUAGCAACCAACAAAAUGAUUAAUGCCUAAUAUAUA